GGGAUCAUAGCUCAGUCAGGUAGAGCGCCUUGCAAAAGGAAGACGUCGGUUCAAAUCCGCCUGAUUCUA
RNAcentral lists this transfer RNA (69 nucleotides) under Acetobacteraceae bacterium. Its description in RNAcentral is "tRNA-OTHER". It matches the Rfam family "tRNA". Rfam says of the family: Transfer RNA (tRNA) molecules are approximately 80 nucleotides in length. Their secondary structure includes four short double-helical elements and three loops (D, anti-codon, and T loops). The record is from RNAcentral. Lineage: Bacteria; Pseudomonadati; Pseudomonadota; Alphaproteobacteria; Acetobacterales; Acetobacteraceae.